CUGGCUCAGGAUGAACGCUGGCGGCGUGCUUAACACAUGCAAGUCGAACGGGAUCCAUCAGGCUUUGCUUGGUGGUGAGAGUGGCGAACGGGUGAGUAAUGCGUGACCGGCCUGCCCCAUACACCGGAAUAGCUCCUGGAAACGGGUGGUAAUGCCGGAUGCUCCGACUCCUCGCAUGGGGUGUCGGGAAAGAUUUCAUCGGUAUGGGAUGGGGUCGCGUCCUAUCAGGUAGUCGGCGGGGUAACGGCCCACCGAGCCUACGACGGGUAGCCGGCCUGAGAGGGCGACCGGCCACAUUGGGACUGAGAUACGGCCCAGACUCCUACGGGAGGCAGCAGUGGGGAAUAUUGCACAAUGGGCGCAAGCUGAUGCAGCGACGCCGCGUGCGGGAUGACGGCCUUCGGGUUGUAAACCGCUUUUGAUCGGGAGCAAGCCUUCGGGUGAGUGUACCUUUCGAAUAAGCACCGGCUAACUACGUGCCAGCAGCCKCGGUAAUACGUAGGGUGCAAGCGUUAUCCGGAAUUAUUGGGCGUAAAGGGCUCGUAGGCGGUUCGUCGCGUCCGGUGUGAAAGUCCAUCGCUUAACGGUGGAUCUGCGCCGGGUACGGGCGGGCUGGAGUGCGGUAGGGGAGACUGGAAUUCCCGGUGUAACGGUGGAAUGUGUAGAUAUCGGGAAGAACACCAAUGGCGAAGGCAGGUCUCUGGGCCGUUACUGACGCUGAGGAGCGAAAGCGUGNGGGAGCGAACAGGAUUAGAUACCCUGGUAGUCCACGCCGUAAACGGUGGAUGCUGGAUGUGGGGCCCGUUCCACGGGUUCCGUGUCGGAGCUAACGCGUUAAGCAUCCCGCCUGGGGAGUACGGCCGCAAGGYWAAAACUCAAAGAAAUUGACGGGGGCCCGCACAAGCGGCGGAGCAUGCGGGAUUAAUUCGAUGCAACGCGAAGAACCUUACCUGGGCUUGACAUGUUCCCGACCGCGGCAGAGAUGUCGUUUCCCUUCGGGGCGGGUUCACAGGUGGUGCAUGGUCGUCGUCAGCUCGUGUCGUGAGAUGUUGGGUUAAGUCCCGCAACGAGCGCAACCCUCGCCYWGUGUUGCCAGCACGUCAUGGUGGGAACUCACGGGGGACCGCCGGGGUCAWCUCGGAGGAAGGUGGGGAUGACGUCAGAUCAUCAUGCCCCUUACGUCCAGGGCUUCACGCAUGCUACAAUGGCCGGUACAACGGGAUGCGACACGGCGACGUGGAGCGGAUCCCUGAAAACCGGUCUCAGUUCGGAUUGGAGUCUGCAACCCGACUCCAUGAAGGCGGAGUCGCUAGUAAUCGCGGAUCAGCAACGCCGCGGUGAAUGCGUUCCCGGGCCUUGUACACACCGCCCGUCAAGUCAUGAAAGUGGGCAGCACCCG
This 1399-nucleotide ribosomal RNA is filed under the name uncultured bacterium (human infant) L14B. Its description in RNAcentral is "16S ribosomal RNA". It matches the Rfam family "Bacterial small subunit ribosomal RNA". The record is from RNAcentral.